AUACACAUUGUAGGAUCUUUAAUCCUCUCGAAAGGUACUUGGGUAUGCUUAACAGAGGAUGUAGAGAAAGUCAUUUCUCAUAGGAGAUGGGGAGCAUAGAGAUGAUCCUAGAACCUACAAUGAGGCAAUGUAAGACAUCGACUCCGACAAAGGGAUGUGAAACAGCUUUCUUGAGUAGAGAUCUUUUGAAGAUUUCUGUAUGGAAUAGCCUAUGGAUUUCACUUCUCGUGAUAGGAGAU
This 239-nucleotide long non-coding RNA is filed under the name Elaeis guineensis (African oil palm). RNAcentral's name for it is "long non-coding RNA (EGUI_LNC068942)". Lineage: Eukaryota; Viridiplantae; Streptophyta; Magnoliopsida; Arecales; Arecaceae. The record is from RNAcentral.